RNAcentral lists this ribosomal RNA (494 nucleotides) under uncultured bacterium. RNAcentral's name for it is "partial 16S ribosomal RNA". It matches the Rfam family "Bacterial small subunit ribosomal RNA", at positions 28 to 507 of the family's 1533-position model. The record is from RNAcentral.
GACGAACGCUGGCGGCGUGCUUAACACAUGCAAGUCGAACGGAAAGGCCUGCUUUCCCUUGUGGAUUGCGGGUACUCGAGUGGCGAACGGGUGAGUAACACGUGAGUGAUCUGCCCCCAACUUGGGUAUAAGCCUGGGAAACUGGGUCUAAUUCCCGAUAGGACUGCAGGGUGGUGCCUGUGGUGGAAAACGAUUUUCUAGUGGUUGGGGAUGAGCUCGCGGCCUAUCAGCUUGUUGGUGGGGUAAUGGCCUACCAAGGCGGCGACGGGUAGCCGGCCUGAGAGGGUGGACGGCCACAUUGGGACUGAGAUACGGCCCAGACUCCUACGGGAGGCAGCAGUGGGGAAUAUGGCACAAUGGGCGGAAGCCUGAUGCAGCGACGCCGCGUGGGGGAUGACGGCCUUCGGGUUGUAAACUCCUUUCGACAGCGAGGAAGCCACCUGGUUGGAAGGGUGGUGACGGUAGUGGUAGAAGAAGCACCGGCUAACUACGUG